Non-coding RNA from Arachis ipaensis, 897 nucleotides. The record is from RefSeq and is a predicted model, not a curated record. NCBI's taxonomy places the organism in Eukaryota, Viridiplantae, Streptophyta, Magnoliopsida, Fabales, Fabaceae.
AAACGAAAAUAGAAGAGUAGCAGAGAAGAAGUAAACUAAAGAAGAAGAAAUGAAAACUGAAAUAUACUUUCUGAUCACCAAGAGGAAAAUGAAUUAUAAGCAAGGUUCUGAAAACCGGACUGGUCAUUAAACCGCUAUAGUCAUUGGUUCACUGGUCCAACCGGUCUAACCAUGGUUCAACCGAAAAAAUCGUUUCAUAAUAAAAUAAUAAAUAAAUUAUAAAUAAACAUCCUAAAAUAUCUUUCAAAUUUAAAACCCUACAUAAAAUAUCACCAAUUAAAUGUAAUUAAUCAUCAAAAUAUGCAAAAACUUGCUGCAAAUUUGUUGACAAUUAACAAUAAUUAUACUUCCAUUAAAAAUAGCUGGAUUGAAUUACAAUGCACAAGUUAAAGAUAGAGAAUAUUGUCUUAAUGUAGCUGAGUCAAAAAGUAAAACAAAAAAUGAUAGUGUUGCACAACAAACACACAACAGAGCCUGAAACAAAAAGAAUCCAACACCGAGGAGGGGCAGCAAGUCAGCGGAGAUCGAGAGCAGGGACAGUGCAACCAAACAAUGAACAAAACAAUGAAAAUAGAAUUUUUUUAUAUAACAGAGCAAUCAAAACAUGAAUCAUACAAUCACUAAUUGCAAUUUUUUUCUUCAUAAGAACAGAACAAUGAAAACAUGAAUCAAAGGAUCACCAAUUGCAAAUUUUUUAAUAACAGAAGUUGGAACAGUGAAAAAUGAAGAGAGAUCAACAGUUUUUAACCCAAUUUUAACAAAGCUCAUCACAAUGAUUAACAACAAAAAAAAAGCAAUGAAGGAACAGUGAAUCAUAAUAGAGUUAUCAAUUUAAAAUUUAUCAUCAAAUACAAUCAGUGAGCAAAACCAAUCAACCAAGCACUGACUGGGCAUUCG